UACAGAGACUGCAAGCGUUAUUCGGAUUCACUGGGCGUAAAGGGUGCGUAGGCGGCCGGGUGUGUCAGAUGUGAAAUCCCGAGGCUUAACCUCGGAACUGCGUCUGAAACUACUCGGCUAGAGUACUGGAGAGGGUAACGGAAUUCACGGUGUAGCAGUGAAAUGCGUAGAUAUCGUGAGGAACACCAGAGGCGAAGGCGGUUACCUGGACAGUUACUGACGCUCAGGCACGAAAGCAUGGGGAGCAAAAGGG
RNAcentral lists this ribosomal RNA (253 nucleotides) under uncultured bacterium. RNAcentral describes it as "partial 16S ribosomal RNA". It matches the Rfam family "Bacterial small subunit ribosomal RNA", at positions 524 to 776 of the family's 1533-position model. The record is from RNAcentral.